RNAcentral lists this long non-coding RNA (3695 nucleotides) under Homo sapiens (human). RNAcentral describes it as "HSALNT0342283". Lineage: Eukaryota; Metazoa; Chordata; Mammalia; Primates; Hominidae. The record is from RNAcentral.
UUUUAGGCCUCCAAGAAGAGUCCCAUUUAUUAGCAAAAUUACUUUAUUCUAACAAAUAGUUUAACACAAAAAUACGAACUAGCCCUCCAGGGAUCUUUGGGGUCUACGCUUCCCAUCGCCUCAGUGUCCGGUGCAUGAGGAAGGUGUCCUCUGAAGGGCGGGGCCGGAGUUGAAGUCGGAGAGGGGGCAGACCGUCCAGGGUCAGGUGCCUUGAGGGUGCGGGGAUGCGGGGGUCGCAGACGCUCCAACGGUCAGGGGACACAGCCUGGCUGCCGCCUCCUUUCCCCCGCCCCUCCUAGACGCCGCUACCGGAAACCGUUAACCCUUUCCUUCGGGGGCGGAGUCAGCAGCCCCACCCACCCUGUUGUCGCUCCCAGGCGUCAUUUCCCUCGCUCCGUCCCCAGGUUUCCGGCAGGCUUCCGCACUCACAGCCUUGGCACCGCCCCCAAGCCGAAGUGUUGGAAGCACUCACAGCCUUGGCACCGCCCCCAAGCCGAAGUGUUUUUGAGCUGGGGUCGGUUGAAGCCCUACGGGUCCUCAUCAGGGCCACUCCUCCUCUUGAAAACUCUGCUAUGGCUGAGUUACCCAGAGGAAUCUUAGUCCUGCUAGCGCUGCGAUGCCCAUUGCCCAGUGUGUCAGUCCUCAUUCUGGGGCGCCAAAUGGGGCAGCAUUUUUUUUUUUUUUUGAGACUGAGCCUCUCUCUGUAGCCCAGGCUGGAGUGCAGGGGCGCGAUUUCGGCUCACUGCAACCUCCGCCUCCCAGGUUCAAGAGAUUCUCCUGCCUCAGCCUCCUGAGUAGCUGGGAUUACAGGCGCGCGCCAUCACGCCCGGCUAAUUUUUGUAUUUUUAGUAGAGACGGUUUCACCAUGUUGGUCAGGCUGGUCUCGAACUCCUGACCUCGUGAUCCGCCCACCUCGGCCUCCCAAAGUGCUGGGAUUACAGGCAUGAGCCACCGCACCUGGCCAUAAAUGGGGCAGCUUUAAGGUAACGGUCCAGUGUGCCCUGACCUCCCACUCAGACCUGCACAGCAUUUCCGGUGUUCCGUUGCCUCCAAACUCGGACCGGAGUUGGCCUGUAUGAGUGCGGGCGAGGGUCGCCGACCCCAUCCCGGACUCCCUUCUGGGACACAGCAACUCUUGCAGCUUUUUGUGACUACUUUUACCUUCGAGAGUUCCCUGAAAUAUUAAUUUGUAUAAAAAGUAGAUAUCUGGCACGGGUGCGGUAGCGCAUACCUGCAAUUCCAACUCUGGGAGGCCAAGGCGGGAAGAUGUCUUGAAACCCUGAGCUGGAGACAAGCAUGGGCAACAUACCGAGACUCCACACCACCAUUCCCAAUCUCUACCAAAAGAAUUUAAUUUUAGCCGGGCGUGGUGGUGGUGCUCACCUGUAGUCCCAGCUACUGGGAAGGCUGAGGCGGGAGGAUCACUUGAGUCCAGGAGUUCCAGGCUGCAAUGAGCUCUGAUCAUACCACUGCGCUCUAGCCUGGGCGACAGAGCAAGACCCUGUCUCAGAAACAAACAAAAAACUCUGUAUUGUGGGUUCAAUGUUUUAUUUUGUUUUUUGAGACGGAGUCUCGCUCUGGUGCCCAGGCUGGAGACUGUGGCACAAUCUCAGCUCACUGCAACGUCUGCCUCCAGUGUUCAAGCAAUUCUCCCACCUUAGCCUCCCAAGUAGGUGGGAUUACAGGCGCCUACCACCACACCCGGCUAAUUUUUUUUGUAUUUUUAGUAGAGACAGGGUUUCACCGUGUUGGCCUCGAACUCCUGACCUCAAGUGGUUCAGCUGCCUUGGCCUCCCAAAGUGCUAUGAUUACAGGCAGUAGCCACUGCACCCAGCCUUGAAUUCAGUUUUUUUAAUUUUUAAUGUCAGUGGACUUAUCCUGGGCCCUGAGCUUUUCCACAUAGCAGAAGACCCCUGAACUGCAGAAAAGGAAAUGAGAGCUCCCACCUGCUCCUUAGGUUACUUGGGGCAGGUCCCCUCAAUUCUGCAAGUCUCCUUUCAUUUUUUGUGUAGAAUGUAAGUGGAAGUGGGUUCAGGAAUCCUUUCUUACUCUUUUUUUUUUUUUUUUUUUAAUUCUCCAAACUGCUUCAAAAAGGUUCAGGAAUCUUGAAGCUUUCCUGGAAUUGAUUGAUGCUCAGUCAACAGGCACGUUUGUGUACCACUUUUCAUUAUGAGUUUCCACAUUGUUCAUUUUAUCUUUCCAGGAAGUGCUGUGGAACAUCAGAUAGAAUGGAUAGCACAGCCCAAAUUUUACAAAAAGGAUUUUAAAGGAAGAUCUCAAUGGUGGAACACUAGAGGCUUUCCUGCUAAAGUUAAGAACAAGCAAGUAUGUCUAUUAUCUCAUUGUUCAAUUGUGAAAAGAAAUAGCGAGGUACAAAUAUAAAUUUUUAAACUGGGAGUAUAAAUUAAAAAUUUUUAAUAGCGACAUAGGAGGGAGAGAAUAGAAUGAAAGACAAACAGUCUUAUUCCUCCAAAUAUACUUUGUUUUGUAUAUUUGACUUUGGAAAUGUAUGCAUUUUAUAUGAUUAUAUUAAAAGGUUUUAAAAAAUCAGGCCAGGCACAGUGGCUUACACCUGUAAUCCCAGCACUUUGGGAAGCCCGGGUGGGUGGAUCACUUGAGGUCAGGAGUUCGAGACCAGCCUGGCCAGCAUGGUGAAACCCCGUUUCUACUAAAAAUAUAAAAAUUAGCCAGGCGUGGUGGUGCACACCUGUAAUCCCAGCUACUUGGGAAGCUGAGGCACAAGAAUCGCUUGAACCCAGGAGGCGUAUGUUGCAGUGAGCUGAGAUCGUGCAACUGGACUCCAGCCUGUGUAACAGAGCAAGACUCUGCCUCAAAAAGUAAUAGUAAAAUAAAAUACAAAUACAAAAAAAUUAGCCGGGUGUGGUGACAGGUGCCUGUAGUCCCAACUACUUGGGAGACUGAGUAGGCCAGUCACUGGAACUCAGGAGGUGGAGGUUGCAGUGAGCCAAGAUUGUGCCACUGCACUCCAGCCUGGGUGACAGAGCUAGACUCUCUGUCUCAAAAAACAAAAAACAAACAAACAAAAAAAACUAAUAAAUCAUGCUGUAUUUUACCUUAAAUUGAAAAGUAUCAAGACUGAGCACAGUGGCUCAAGCCUGUAAUCCCAGCACUUUAGGAAGCCGAGGCAGGCAAGUUGCCUGAGCUCAGGAGUUCAAGACCAGCCUGGGCAACAUGGCAAAACCUCGUCUCUACUAAAAAGUACAAAAAAUUAGCCAGGCAUGGUAGCACGUGCCUGUAGUCCCAUAGUCCCAGCUACUCAGGAGGCUGAGGCAUGAGAAUCACUUGAACCCAGGAGGCGGCGGUUGCAGUGAGCCAGGAUCUCGCCACUGCACUCCAGCCUGGAUGACAGAGUGAGACCCUGUCACAAGAAAAAAAAAAGUUGGGGUUCGGAACAGUAUUUGAGGGUACAUGGAUAAAACAAGAUUAGCCAAAUGUUGAUGACUGCUGAAGCAGGAUUUUAUUACUAUAUUUUCUCUACUUUUGCAUAUUCUUGAACAUUUCUGUGACUAAACGUUUUUUGUUUAUUUAAAAAAAGAGGCUGACGCAGUUUUGGCAUGCAGGAAGUGUUGGAGCUGAGACUCGAAACUGUCCCCCAGGCCUUGGCCAUGCUGAUAAAUAUCUAGGCCCUACAGGAGUUCGUGUCCAUGAACCCAGUAAACGCAAUUCCUCAGCCU